AGCUCCAAUAGCGUAUAUUAAAGUUGUUGCAGUUAAAAAGCUCGUAGUUGAACCUUGGCCCUGGCUAGCCGGUCCGCCUCACCGCGUGCACUGGUCCGGCCGGGGCUUUCCUCCUGGGGAUCCGCAUGGCCUUCACUGGCUGUGUUGGGGAACCAGGACUUUUACUUUGAAAAAAUUAGAGUGUUCAAAGCAGGCAUUUGCUCGAAUACAUUAGCAUGGAAUAAUGGAAUAGGACGCGUGGUCCUAUUUCGUUGGUUUCUAGGACCACCGUAAUGAUUAAUAGGGAUAGUCGGGGGCAUCAGUAUUCGAUUGUCAGAGGUGAAAUUCUUGGAUUUAUCGAAGACUAACUACUGCGAAAGCAUUUGCCAAGGAUGUUUUCA
Molecule: ribosomal RNA, 380 nt
Filed under: uncultured eukaryote
Lineage: Eukaryota
Description: SSU rRNA
Rfam family: Eukaryotic small subunit ribosomal RNA
Source: RNAcentral